AUUAUUGAUUGGAAACAAUAAUACUGCUGAUGCUAUACAAGUUAGUUUGAACGAUUUUCCAUCAUCCGACUGUCCAGCUCGAACUUUAUAUUUUGUACAAGUGAAUUUUGGAUUAUUUCCUACUAAACACACAAAAGCGAAGAAGUGGAACAGAAGACAAACAGGAUGGAUGACACAUCUUCACAGGCACUUUGACUAAUGGAGCUUCGGAAAAACAUUCCGUGUCAGACUGAUCAUUUGACUCCUCGGCGUAAAGUGUCAAGGCAGAACGUUUGCAUUGAGCUGCGCAAAAUAUGAUCCGUGGGGGCGUUUUGGUCAACACACCGUCGGAGUUCUCCACAACCCAGACGUCUCCUGUGCUUGAUAAUCUGCUUGGUAACGGCGAGCCGUUUCAGGGAGAGUCCAAAAUAAAUUUGACAGAGAUCAGGUUA
This is a long non-coding RNA of Syngnathus typhle (broad-nosed pipefish), 431 nucleotides long. RefSeq lists it as uncharacterized. The record is from RefSeq and is a predicted model, not a curated record. NCBI's taxonomy places the organism in Eukaryota, Metazoa, Chordata, Actinopteri, Syngnathiformes, Syngnathidae. The transcript has 4 exons.